Molecule: unclassified non-coding RNA, 329 nt
Filed under: soil metagenome
Description: partial contains 5.8S ribosomal RNA, internal transcribed spacer 2, and large subunit ribosomal RNA
Rfam family: 5.8S ribosomal RNA (bases 1-120)
Source: RNAcentral
GAUGAAGAACGCAGUGAAAUGCGAUACGUAAUGUGAAUUGCAGAAUUCAGUGAAUCAUCGAGUCUUUGAACGCACAUUGCGCCCCUUGGUAUCCCGAGGGGCAUGCCUGCUCGAGCGUCAUUUCACCACUCAAGCCUGGCUUGGUGUUGGGCGACGUCCCCUUUGGGGACGCGCCUCGAAACGCUCGGCGGCGUGGCACCGGCUUUAAGCGUAGCAGAAUCUUUCGCUUUGGAAGUCGGGGCCCCGUCUGCCGGAAGACCUACUCGCAAGGUUGACCUCGGAUCAGGCAGGGAUACCCGCUGAACUUAAGCAUAUCAAUAAGCGGAGGA